RNAcentral lists this ribosomal RNA (264 nucleotides) under uncultured bacterium. RNAcentral describes it as "partial 16S ribosomal RNA". It matches the Rfam family "Bacterial small subunit ribosomal RNA", at positions 88 to 354 of the family's 1533-position model. The record is from RNAcentral.
CGCAUGAGUGGCGGACGGGUGAGUAACGCGUGGGCAACCUGCCCUGUACAGGGGGACAACACUUAGAAAUAGGUGCUAAUACCGCAUAACGGGGGGAGCCGCAUGGCACCCCCUGAAAACUCCGGUGGUACAGGAUGGGCCCGCGUCUGAUUAGCUGGUUGGCAGGGUAACGGCCUACCAAGGCGACGAUCAGUAGCCGGCCUGAGAGGGCGGACGGCCACACUGGGACUGAGACACGGCCCAAACUCCUACGGGAGGCAGCAG